Molecule: long non-coding RNA, 1176 nt
Filed under: Laticauda laticaudata (blue-ringed sea krait)
Lineage: Eukaryota; Metazoa; Chordata; Lepidosauria; Squamata; Elapidae
Description: lncRNA (ENSLLTG00000005051.1)
Source: RNAcentral
ACCCUCACAAAUCCCUAGGAAACUAUCGUCCAUUUGAGUAGAUAGGUUUUACAUCUACUUCAGGUGGAUCAUGUCUGCUAGAUGCUUAAAUGCACAAUGGCUGAAGAGACUGUUAUUAAACAAAGAAUGAAAUUUUUAAAAGACUUAAGGAGGUAAGGCCUUGCUUAUAUAAAAGGCUUAUCUUACUUUCAUUCCUAAGCAAUGAAAAUACACAAGUAAUCAUAAAUCAUAGCCAUGGUUGAAUUGACUGGCACAAUUCAAUGUAUGGAAUUGUGCCAUGUUAUAUAUCAGUUAUUUCUCAGUCCUGCAAUGGAGGCACCAUCACACUCAGACUUUGCAAAACCUCCCAGCUCUCAACUUGUACUAUUCCAUGGAAGAAGUUCCCAUCAUAUAAUGUUCUAGAGAUGCAAAGAAUUGGGAGUGAGAUGAUUUCUGUUGUUUUCUCUUGUCACAAGGAUUUUGCUGCAGCCCUAACUUACUGGAGUUAAGAGCAAGAGUCCCCAACCUGGCUCCCACUAAUUGUGUUGGGCUUUUAGGACUUAUCCUACACAACGGUAGUAUUCUAGGUUUUGGGAAGACAUAAUAAUAGUAUAAUAAUAAUAGUAAUAGUAAUAAGUACUAGAAGACAUGCAAGCCUGUUAUUCAUGUGCAAAUAAUCCCAAAUUCAAAUGCUGAUCCUUUUCUUUGAACACACACAUUGAUAACCACUGCUGAGUUCCCUCUCCAAUGCUUCAUAUAAAAAUGUUGUUUUUUUUAAAAUAAAUAUUUUUCUUAUUUGAGGAAUCUAUUAAUAUAUUAAGUAUAGAGGGAGGAAUAGAAAAGAAGGGUCAAAAUUUUAAGUCAUUGUCAUUUUUUCUGCUCUUGUAAGAUUCUAUUUAAAAAUCUUAUCCUAUUUAGGGGCCUAUUUAGAAAUGGAAAAUCCCAGUUGAAGUGAUGCAGCAAAAAUUCAGAAAAGGACACAAAGAAAACAUUCAUAAUCACCUUGAUUCAGAGAACAACGAAAGCAGAAGCUGCAGACAAGAGGUUCCGUCUUCUGUAUCCUUACCAAUAAAAGCCAAAACGCCUUCAUUGGAAGAAAGAGAUUAUGCUGCUGUUGUGUACCAUCAAACAGAAAGGGCACUGGUCACCAAAUGUUUGUGUGAGGAUCCAAAUGAGACCUGACCUGCUACUGUGACC